GAAACCAGUCACAUGUUUGCUUUACUCCGCGUUCACCUAUCUGGUUUCAUUCAACAAAAAAGCGGAGCAUACUUCUUCCAAGUCUCCUACAUCAUCUUUCGUAGCGUGUGACAUGAAGAAUAUCUAAGAGCGCAAGACUUCUAGGGAUGGGAUUCGUGCAUCUUCUCCGCACUCGAAGUCCGCUGAGGACAAGGUCCGCCGAGUGGGGUUGUCCAAGAGGUUCUGCCAGAGCGACACGGAAAAGCUCACGAUGGAGGAGGUCUACCAGGGCUGUGUGAGCAUCCUCCAGCUCGAGGAGUUUACAACGCGCCUGCGCAGCAUCGUGAAACGUGCCUUCACUAAGGCAAAGAGCAUGGGCAACACCGCCGGCGUCGGCCAAUGCGACGACGAGUUUGUCGAAUUUCUUGAGUUUCGGCUGAUGCUGUGCUACAUAUACGACUACCUCGAGCUCACCGUCAUGUUUGACGAGAUCGACACCUCCGGCAACAUGCUGGUGGACGCGAGGGAGUUCAAGGCCGCCGUGCCGAAGAUGGGUGAGUGGGGCCUUGUCAUUGAGGAUCCGGACACAAUCUUCAAGGAAAUCGACGACAACGGCUCCGGCCAGGUGCCCUUUGACGAGCUCGCUGCGUGGGCCAGCCGAUCAUCAGCUGGACACUGAGGGCUAUCUGUACAACGGGAAGCAGUAGAUUCCUUUGAAUUCUGCGAACUCAUAACUAUGCACCGCGAUGAGAAGAGCUUGUCUUUUUCAAAUCUUUUCCCCAUAGCUUUCCCCUUUUGCAACCUGAGCGAAACAUCGACUUCUUCUCCUGCUUUUUUUCCCUCUCGCCUCCCCAAUUCAGUACGUAAAAAUCGUAACGUAUUCUCGUGUUACAAGUGGACUUCACGAACGAGCGGAGCUCGCACCUCGUGCUAACCCUCCAAAGAAGUAUUUUUCACUGAGCGACUCUAAUUUUUCUCUGUCCUUGGUGGUCUCUUUUUUUGUCCCUUUUCCUGGGGCCUUUGUGGUGUGCGUCGGUGUGUUGCGACGCAGUUUCAUGGUGACGUUGCUGGGUGACAACUCGAGCGAAAGAUUUAAGAGGUGUGGACAUACUUCCUUUCCUUGGGUGGCCUCGAUCUUUUUCUUUUCCGUGAUCUGCUUGCCACAAUGCGCACGAAAGCUUUUCCUCGAGUCGGGCGAUGCGCGCUGUCACUGCAGAGCGAAUCCGUGAUCUUACAUUCACUUUUCUAGGGAUUAUGUAUACAAACUUUUCACUUUUUUAAAUAUUUUCCUUGUCCGCUUCAUGUGGUUUUAUUCUUUUUUUCUAUUCGCCGCUGAAUACUUGAGCCUCUGCCAAACAGCAAAAAU
RNAcentral lists this unclassified non-coding RNA (1345 nucleotides) under Leishmania donovani. RNAcentral describes it as "gene:LdHU3.16.1090(CDS-product:flagellar_calcium-binding_protein_putative)". The record is from RNAcentral. Lineage: Eukaryota; Euglenozoa; Kinetoplastea; Trypanosomatida; Trypanosomatidae.